CGGACGGGUGAGUAACACGUGGAUAACCUACCUAUAAGACUGGGAUAACUUCGGGAAACCGGAGCUAAUACCGGAUAAUAUAUUUAACCGCAUGGUUCAAUAGUGAAAGACGGUUUUGCUGUCACUUAUAGAUGGAUCCGCGCCGCAUUAGCUAGUUGGUAAGGUAACGGCUUACCAAGGCAACGAUGCGUAGCCGACCUGAGAGGGUGAUCGGCCACACUGGAACUGAGACACGGUCCAG
RNAcentral lists this ribosomal RNA (241 nucleotides) under uncultured Staphylococcus sp. RNAcentral's name for it is "partial 16S ribosomal RNA". It matches the Rfam family "Bacterial small subunit ribosomal RNA", at positions 99 to 334 of the family's 1533-position model. Lineage: Bacteria; Bacillati; Bacillota; Bacilli; Caryophanales; Staphylococcaceae. The record is from RNAcentral.